AGUGAACGCUGGCGGUAGGCCUAACACAUGCAAGUCGAACGACCGCACAGUAAGAGCUUUCUCUUACCGGUGGCGAGUGGCGGACGGGUGACACAUACAUCAGCUUCUACUAUUACUUGGGUAAUAUCGUGAGGACACUUCCGCUACUACCGCAUAUAUUCUACGGCUGAAAUCAGUAGAUCUUCACACCUUUCCCGUCUCUAUGAGCCGAUGCCGCAUUAGCUAGUUGGCUGGGUAAAGGCCCACCAAGGCAACGAUGCGUAGCUGAUCUGAGAGGAUGAUCGGCCACACUGGAACUGAGACACGGUCCAGACUCCUACGGGAGGCAGCAGUGGGGAAUAUUCGGCAAUGGGCGCAAGCCUGAUGCAGCCAUGCCGCGUGAGUGAAGAAGGUCUUCGGGUUGUAAAGCUCUUUUAUUAGGAAAGAAAAGAAGCGGAAGAAUCUCCCGCUGUUCUGACGGUACCCAAAGAGAAAGCACCGGCUAACUUCGUG
This 492-nucleotide ribosomal RNA is filed under the name uncultured bacterium. Its description in RNAcentral is "partial 16S ribosomal RNA". It matches the Rfam family "Bacterial small subunit ribosomal RNA", at positions 29 to 507 of the family's 1533-position model. The record is from RNAcentral.